AGACCCGAAACCCGGUGAUCUAGCCAUGGGCAGGUUGAAGGUUGGGUAACACUAACUGGAGGACCGAACCGACUAAUGUUGAAAAAUUAGCGGAUGACCUGUGGCUGGGGGUGAAAGGCCAAUCAAACCGGGAGAUAGCUGGUUCUCCCCGAAAGCUAUUUAGGUAGCGCCUCGUGAAUUCAUCUCCGGGGGUAGAGCACUGUUUCGGCUAGGGGGCCAUCCCGGCUUACCAACCCGAUGCAAACUGCGAAUACCGGAGAAUGUUAUCACGGGAGACACACGGCGGGUGCUAACGUCCGUCGUGAAGAGGGAAACAACCCAGACCGCCAGCUAAGGUCCCAAAGUCAUGGUUAAGUGGGAAACGAUGUGGGAAGGCCCAGACAGCCAGGAUGUUGGCUUAGAAGCAGCCAUCAUUUAAAGAAAGCGUAAUAGCUCACUGGUCGAGUCGGCCUGCGCGGAAGAUGUAACGGGGCUAAACCAUGCACCGAAGCUGCGGCAGCGACGCUGAUGCGUUGUUGGGUAGGGGAGCGUUCUGUAAGCCUGUGAAGGUGUGCUGUGAGGCAUGCUGGAGGUAUCAGAAGUGCGAAUGCUGACAUAAGUAACGAUAAAGCGGGUGAAAAGCCCGCUCGCCGGAAGACCAAGGGUUCCUGUCCAACGUUAAUCGGGGCAGGGUGAGUCGACCCCUAAGGCGAGGCCGAAAGGCGUAGUCGAUGGGAAACGGGUUAAUAUUCCCGUACUUGGUGUUACUGCGAAGGGGGGACGGAGAAGGCUAUGUUGGCCGGGCGACGGUUGUCCCGGUUUAAGCGUGUAGGUGUGUGUUCCAGGUAAAUCCGGUU
Molecule: ribosomal RNA, 836 nt
Filed under: Salmonella enterica subsp. enterica serovar Beaudesert
Lineage: Bacteria; Pseudomonadati; Pseudomonadota; Gammaproteobacteria; Enterobacterales; Enterobacteriaceae
Description: partial 23S ribosomal RNA
Rfam family: Bacterial large subunit ribosomal RNA
Source: RNAcentral